RNAcentral lists this ribosomal RNA (371 nucleotides) under uncultured bacterium. Its description in RNAcentral is "bacterial SSU rRNA". It matches the Rfam family "Bacterial small subunit ribosomal RNA", at positions 527 to 896 of the family's 1533-position model. The record is from RNAcentral.
GUAGGGUGCGAGCGUUAAUCGGAAUUACUGGGCGUAAAGCGUGCGCAGGCGGUUCGCCAAGUCAGGUGUGAAAUCCCCGGGCUUAACCUGGGAAUUGCGCUUGAAACUAGCGGGCUUGAGUGUGGCAGAGGGGGGUGGAAUUCCACGUGUAGCAGUGAAAUGCGUAGAGAUGUGGAGGAACACCGAUGGCGAAGGCAGCCCCCUGGGUCAACACUGACGCUCAUGCACGAAAGCGUGGGGAGCAAACAGGAUUAGAUACCCUGGUAGUCCACGCCCUAAACGAUGUCGACUAGGUGUUGGGGAAGGAGACUUCCUUAGUACCGCAGCUAACGCGUGAAGUCGACCGCCUGGGGGGUACGGUCGCAAGAUUA